CAUUCAUUGGAUGGAAGUUGGUUAGCAUAGAUCAGUCUUGGCUGCCAACCAGAUGAACUUUUAUGUGCACAUGAGAGGGAAGUAGCCAUUGCCUGGACAAGUCUGCUGAAACACAAACACACACACAUCCAGUCGUCCAUACAUCCAUCUGCCCGUCCAUACAUCCAUCUGCCCGUCCAUACAUCCAUCUUCCCGACCAUACAUGCAUUCAUUCAUUCACGUCAGCUGGAUGUGCAAAGGGCAAGCAGAAAGAGAGUGACAGAGGUGCCUCUCUCUCUCACUCCUACUACUGCUACUACCACCCUUACUUCUCCAUCUAAGCCCUGCUAUUAUAACAAAUUGUUGCUUCACCUUCAGCCCCUCCCUCCUUUUCCUUUCUUUCUGCCACACUAAUGCCAUUUGAAGUGCCCAACUGGAGGCUGGUUAAGCCACUCUGGUUCCCCUCC
RNAcentral lists this long non-coding RNA (446 nucleotides) under Physcomitrium patens. RNAcentral describes it as "long non-coding RNA (PPAT_LNC012529)". The record is from RNAcentral. Lineage: Eukaryota; Viridiplantae; Streptophyta; Bryopsida; Funariales; Funariaceae.